Molecule: long non-coding RNA, 7764 nt
Organism: Brassica rapa (field mustard)
Lineage: Eukaryota; Viridiplantae; Streptophyta; Magnoliopsida; Brassicales; Brassicaceae
Source: RefSeq, a predicted model, not a curated record
GAAUUGCCUCCAAUUUAUCAAACUGUUCAUAAUAAACUUUACAAAAGAAAAUAUAGAACAUGAUUUUGUUAACGUACGGAUUUCAAGUUCAAACUUGUCCAAGUAAUCGGAGAGAAGAUGCUUGUGGAAUUGACUCGCGACGAACACCACGCUCCCAGAGACGGCAAAAACAGCCAUGAAACCUAAAGAACUUUCCAUAUAUAUAUCUCUCUCUAAGGUUUAUUCUGUUACUAAUAAAAUCGAUCUUAAUUCUCUGAGAAUAAAUAAAGAAUGAUAAGUUUGGUUGCAUUAAUUAGGGGAAGAUGCUAGGAAGGAGAAGGGAUCAGGGGACAUGAUCGGAGAAGAUAGACGGAGAAGCAGAGAGGAAGAGAGAAACGGAAGAAGCAUUGCGUAAAAAAAUUAACAAGAAGGACAGAGAGGAUUGAUCGAAGAAUGGCGUUGUAUAAAAAGAGAGUUUUUAUUUUCUCUUUAUUUUGGCCAACAAACAAACAACUCAUAAUAAAAUAUGCAUAAAUCGAAUUAAUAAUAAUAAAAUUGUGUGCUAUUUUUAUAUUUUUUGUUUAUUUGUUAUAGUUUCUUCUAUGAAUUGAAAAAGCUUCACCAGUCACCACCUCUUCAUAUAUUUUGGUGUCUUUCUCAAUAGAGUAGAACAAUUUGAACUCUUUCACUUUUUUUGGUUUCUUGUUCUAAAUGAUGUCACAAAAAUUCCAAAAAUAUAACACAGAGAAUGUCAGGCACUUGAGUGUUUCUAUAUUUUUGUUUUUGUUUUAAAAUAGGGAUUAGAACUUCCCCAUUGCAAGGUUCUAAAGAAGACACUUUAAGAACCUGAUGCAACUUUUUGGAGACACAUAUAUCUAUUUUUUAUUAGUUAAUUUUUUAUAGAAAUUAAAUUUAAAUAUAGAAUCACAAUACAUUAAAAGAUUUACCUUUUAUUGCUGAUAACCUUAGAUAAACAUCUUUAUAGAUGAGUAUGCUUUAAGGCGGGGAUCCUCAGAGCUAAAGAUUUCGUGUAUAUUAUUAUUAGUACUAUUAUGUUUUUUUUUAUAAUUUUUACAAAUCAACUUGCUUUUUUGUCCCAUUAGUGAAGUCAACUUUGUUUGCCUGUAUGAAAAACAAUUGAAGGAUAAUAACUGCCAAGUUCUCUUAGCAAAAAAAAAAUACUGCCAAGUUCUAUAUAGAAUGAUCGUUUUGUCAAAUGGGUGAAGGAUAGGAAGUUUGCUUUCAAUAUAAUAAAAAAUCAAAUGAUUUUUUCAUAGGAUAACAUAAAAAUAAAUAGAGGUGAUGGCGAGGUCGGGAAAUAGAUAUGGCUCAUUUUGAGAUGUGGUUCCAACGACCUCUUCAAUGGGUGUGGUGACAUGUGGUGUUCGAUCUGUUUUUUUUUUGUUUUUUCAUACAGUUUUAAUUUUUAUUUUUUUAACUUUUCAGUUUUGGGGAAAUGUAUAAUCCAGAGGAAAAAUCAUAUAUACAAAUAAUGAGAAGGUAGAAUUGUGAAUAUUUAGAUUACUACAAAUAGUUUGGGUUGUUGAAAAUGCCGCCUACAAGAGUCAAUUCGUGAACAAGAAUGACUUUUGUUCUGCAUGUUUCUCACAUCGUCCAUGGAGAUGAUGUGGAUAUGUGCGGCACUCGUUACAGUGGUAAACCCAUGCAUGCACAUUUUCAUUUAUGAUCGCGAGAGAGGUGAGAUCGCUCAAAGUAUUGAAAUAAAGACAAGGUUGAGAUGACGUAUAGAGAAAUUUGGUUGCAGUUAACUUUCUGGGAUGACAUUGAGAACAUCAUAUGUUUGGAAACCUAAUUAUAUUAAGUUGUUUGGUAAUCCAUUGGAAAAUAAGUGGAAAUAUAUAUAUAAACACAAGCAAACUUAAUUUACAAAAUAAAUGCACAAGAUAUACAAAAAGAAAAAAAUAGUACUCCCUCUAUUUCAUAAAAAAAAUGUCAUUUAAACACAUCUCACGCUUAAUAAUACAAUUCAAUGCAAAAAAAAAGACACAUUUCACGCAGAUUGAAAAAUGAUUAAAUAUACUAAUGUACUCCUAUUUAAUGUAUAAUUAUUUAAUUGAAAAUAAUUUAACUAAACAUCUAUUGGUUAUUUAAAAGGAUAAAAAUAUAUUUAUUAUGAAAAUUCACAUUAGAAAUGCAUAAUGAAACUUUAUUGAAACAAGAAAAAAAUGUUAAAAUGAUGUUCUUUAUGAAACAAAUAGAAUAAGAAAUACACAAGUUAUAAAUGUAUUGUAUCUAAAUUAAUGUUGGAGUAUGGAGCUUCAUCAAUGCUAAGAGGUUGGAGGUAGCCACUUCGUGAUUACAAUAUAAUAAUGUACUGUGAACUGGCAUGGUCCGCAUGAAGGAAAUUUAUUGAUGAUCAUAAUAUAUAUUGAAAAGUUUCAAUAUUGGUAAGAGAAUUUGCCAUGUUUUAGCAUUAACACCAAUUGGUAGAUUAGAUCAAAAAUACAAUAAAAAUUAUAUAACAUGCAGCGAAAGACUCUAUAAUUGUGAGAAACUAAAUCGUAAUAGUUGUUUUUUUUUAUUUUUAUUAAUUAACUCUGAAAUAAGUAGAAAUAUAUAUUAACAAACUUACAAAGUGAACAAAUAUAUCAUAGCCGCAAAGCGCACUCGUUUCAUUAAGGCAAAUCUCUAUUUCUUCUCCGUUUACGUCAUGCCUGAUUUGUUCAUAUCGAACCUUGACAAGGAGCUUGUUUAGGCCUGGGAGAUCGGGUGACCAUUCGGGUUUGGUUCAGAUUCAAUUGGUUUUGGGUUUAUAAAUUUUAGCCCUAUUCGGGUAUUAUAAAAGUUUGUUUCGGAUUUUGUUACAUAGAUACAGACUUCAGAACCGCCAUAAGACAAUCUUCAGUUGAGAACACAACAUAUUAAGAUAGUCUUCAGUUCAAAACACAUAUUAAACACACAUUUCAAAUCCCACAUAAGACAAUAUACAAUACAAUGAUCAAAGCCGAAAAGAAACAAAAGAGUAAGAUGACUAAUGAAGAAGUAACUUGAACCAGACAUAAGACAACUUUUUGUUCACAAAAACACAUGAUUAAAUCCAAACUGGCAAACUCCAAACUGAAAACCCAUUACUUGAUUGCAUAGGAGAGAACGAUGUGUAAUGCUCACCUCUGAGUGAUUUCUUGACAUCUCUAACAAAGGAGACAAUGACUUUCAGUGGUUUUGUAUCUCCAGUUUAAGCAAUCGUGGUUACUUAUAUAAAUUUCAAAUUCGCUGAACAGAAGGGAAGACAAAUCAGAGGGGAUCAUGAUUGGCAAAGAAUAUAGGGUUAGCAAGAUAUUUGGGGAGCUUAUAUGAGAUUUCGCACAACAAUCUCAGUGUCAAUUGAGAUUGUAAAAUGGGAAAUAUGAAAUGAUAAGAGGAAAAAGUAGCUCAAAGUUUUGAUAUCCAUUUUACCUGAUUGGGUGGGUGGUAUUUAUCCAACCCGAACCGACACACAUCUUACCAAAAUAAUGAGACCAAUCAGGUAUGUCUCAAGAUCUGAACCCGAGCUGAACCAAUUUUAUCGGACUGGGUUUGGUUCGGGUAAUCGGGUUAUUUGCCUUGGCCUAAGCUUGUAUGUGUAGUAGUUGAAUGACAUGAAGUGUGACCAACCAAUAGAAACCAGAACUUUAUGCCAAAGACAAAAGGAGUAUUAAUCAAUGCACUGGAGUUGCAAAACUCGUAUGUAUGUCAGAUGAUAGGUCUCAGGAUUUGAUUAUCUGAAACUGUAUAUGGAUCUUAAUUAGAAGUAAACAUCUCACUGUAAAUAAAAGUUUAGAACAUGUCUAAACGUAGAUAAAGUUGGAUAAGAACAAUAUUGUAUUAUUUUGUCCGGAUGUCCCCAAAAAAAAAUUUUGUCCAACAAAAAAAUUGUUUGUAAUAUUGAAAUCGUUCAAAAUGAACCGAAAAGAUCUUGACUUUGAAUAUGAAGCUGUAUAUAAUAUACAUUCACGAAGGAACCACCAUCGAGCAUGAAAAUCAUCACAGUUACUAAAGCUAAAGUUAUGGCCUUCUUCAAAAUCCAUUAAGCUUGCCUAUAUUGCUAAUCUUAGUUACUUUUAGAUCAACAUGUCUUCUAGUUCCACAAUGAGACAUUUUUACAUGCGAUGAAAUGAAAAUGUUUUUGCAAUCACAUGCUGCUACAACACCACAAGAAUCAAAUGUCAUAAACUAUUAGGCAUUAAAGUAAAUGAAAAUGGAAAAGAUAAAUUCAAACAUUCUUCUUAAUUGAUUAAUUCACAUUCUCAAAACAAAUACUUUACAUAAUUUCAAUAUAUCACAUUCAUAGCUAUAUCAAUUUUUGAAAAAUUUAUUCAUUUUUUCUUCAACUAUUCAGUUAUAAAUUUUUAUCGAAUUUUCCUUCAACUAUUUCUAUAUAAUUAUUUCUUUUUUUCUUCCUAAUCAACAAAUGAAAUCGAAAUCAAUCACAUAUGGAAGCGAAAUCUCAAAUCCAAAUUAAUGCAUAUGGAAAUAAAAACCCAAAUAAAAAUAUGUAAAUAAAUAUUUUAACGAAAUCUCAUAGAUCUAAAUCGACACAUAUAGAAAUGAAAUCUCAAAUCAACAUAUAAAAAUGAAAUAUCAUGAAUCUUAAUCAUUCCAAUCAAACAUGAGAUCUAAGGCUAAAGAAACAAACGACAUAUCCAUUAUAAUCAAAAUCAACACAUAUUAAAAUGAAAUCUCAAAUCAAUAUUGACGCAUAUGGAAAUGAAAUCUUAAAUAAAAAUUGACGCAUAUGAAAAUGAAAUAUCAUAUAUUUAAAUUAGUCAAAUCAAACACAAGAUCUAAGACAAAGGAAACAAAAGACACAAUCAUUAUAAUCAAAAUCAUUGCAUAUUGAAAUGAAAUCUCAAAUCAAAAUUGAGGCAUAUGGAAAUGAUAUCUCUAAUCAAAAUAUGGAAAUGAAACCUCAUAGAUCAAAAUCGAUGCAUAUGAAACUGAAAUCUCCAAUCAAAAUCGACGCAUAUGGAAAUGAAAUAUCAAAGAAAAAUAUGGAACCAAACAUGAAAAUGAAAUAUCAUAGAUCUAAAUUAUUGCAUAAGAGUAUGAAAUCUCAAAUAAAAAUUGACGCAUAUGUAAAUGAAAUAUCAUAAAUCUAGAUGAAAAAUAAGAUACAAAAUGUCUAGAUUAAAAAUAGUAUAUACAACCCCAUAAUCAAAUGUUAUAAACUAUUAGCAUUAAAGUAAUUGAGAAUAUAAAAGAUAAAUUCAAACUUUCUUCUUAAUUGUCUUGAAAAACAAAUUUAAAUUCACAUCAUCAAAACUUCUACGUUACUUAAUUUCAAUAUAUCACAUUCAUAGUUUAUCCAAUUUUCAAAAAAAAAUUGAUUCAGUUUUUCUUCAGCUAUUCAGUUAUAAGUUAGCCAAAUCAACAAUUUAAACAAUAAAACUCCACAAAGAUAUCACAACAACUAAAAUGAGCACUACUUGACUUGUACAUAAUUAUUUAUCCUUUUUCCGAUCAACACAUAUGAAAAUGAACUCAAAUUCAGAUUGACGCAUAUGAAAAUGAAAACUCAAAUCAAAAUAUGAAAACAAGUAUAGAAAUGAAAUAUCAUAGAUCUAAAUCAACACAUAUGGAAAUAGAAUCUCAAUUCAAAAUCAACGCAUAUAAAAAUCAAAUAUCAUAAAUCUAAACCAUUCAAAUCAAACAUGAAAUCUAAGGCUAAAAAAAACAAAAUUCACAUCCAUUAUAAUCAAAAUGAAUGCAUAUGAAAAUGAAAUAUGAAAUCAAAUCGAUGCAUAUGGAAAUAAAAUCUGAAAUCAAAAUCGACACAUAUUGAAUUGAAAUAUCAUUGAUCUAAAUCAGUUCAAUCAAACACAAGAUAUAAGACCAAAUAAUCAAUAGACUCAAUCAUUAUAGAUAAAAUCAAUGAUAUGGAAACGAAACAUUAAAGUAAAAUUGAUGCAUAUGGAAAAGAAAUUUCAAAUUAAAAUAUGGAAACCAAUAUGGAAAUGAAACCUCAUAGAUCUAAGUCGAUGCACAUGAAAAUAAAUCUCUAAUUAAAACCGACGCAUAUGAAAAUGAAAUAUCAUAGGUUUAAAUCAGUGCAAUCAAACACGAGAUCUAAUACCAUGAAAACAUAAGACACAACCAUUAUAAUCAAAAUAAACGCAUAUGAAAAGAAAAUCUUAAAUCAAAAUCGAUGCAUAUGGAAAUAAAAUCUCAAAUAAAAAUAUGGAACCAACUUGGAAAAUAAAUCACAUAUAUCUAAAUUGAUGCAUAUGAGUAUGAAAUUUCAAAACAAAAUCGACACAUAUGUAAAUGAAAUAUCAUAAAUCUAAAUCAGUUCAAUCAAACACGAGAUCUACGACCAAUGAAAAAAAAUACAUAUAUUAUAAUCAAAAGAAACGCAUAUGGAAAUGAAAUCUCAAAUCAAAAUUGAUGCUUAAAGAAAUGAAGUUCAACUUAAAAGCAGAAACAAUUAAAUAUUUUCUUAAAAUAGAAAGGAAAAUGUAAUAGUUAAUUAUUAUUUUUUGUUUUAUAAACCAAUUAACAAUUGAAGUUUUAUUGCAUUAAAAAGAAAAAUAGUAUAAUUCUUUCUGAUCUUUGUGAGUUCUGAUUUUACAUAAAGUACAUGAACAAUAAUGUGAACUCUGACUGUAUGUGAUCAUUUGACAAAAAAUAUGAAGUUUUAGUAAUAAAAGAUUAAAAAAUUUGUUGCAUAUCAUCCUUGAGAAGUGUAUCAGUUAAACCAAUUCGGUAUAAGAAAAGUAAAAUCUAUGACCAUUACUUGUAUUGAGAGCGGUUUGUUGAUAAAAUCUUUCAAAUCAAAUCUCUCAAACCGAAGACAAAACAAUAAACCGGUUUGCAUACAAGUAAUGGUUAAGACUUCUUUUUUUAAAUAACAUUGAUAAUUGAUUGGUUAACUAAUAAUAAUAAAAGCUAAUAGAGAAACCGGUUUGCAUACAAGUAAUGGUUAAGACUUCUUUUCUUAAAUAACAUUGAUAAUUGAUUGGUUAACUAAUAAUAAUAAGAGCUAAUAGAGAAGACAUGUAAAACGACAAAGAAACUUGAUAGUGGCGUACAUUUGAGAGAUCUUUCACUCUUUCUACUCUCAUUAGAACGACAAAAGAAACAACAUUAUGAAAUUGAUAAAUAAACCAAAUGGCAAGGCCGGCUUUAUCCGUCAGAACCUAUUAAAAUAUCAGGGGCGCCAAUUGCUAUAAUGUUCACUUUAGUCUAGUAUCACAUGAAUUUUUUAAUUUGACUUGCAGCCAUUAUGUUCGAAAUCUAUUUUUCUUUUCUUUUUUGAUAAUUAUAAUGCUCUUUUUUACAGGCUCCCUUCUUCCUUAGAUAAUAAUUUUUUUUCUUGUUUUGACAGUCGUCAAAAAUAUUGAGGAUUUCAUAUAAAUUCUACUAUCCCUAGGCAUUAUUAAAAUACAAUUUAUCUUCUUUCCAAAAAAAAAUUAUGUUAACAAGAAAUUUAAUAACAAUUAGCUUGAAUUAUAAAUUGUGCAUAUUCCAGGUUUCAUUGUGAUUGAUUUUAAUAUAAAUAAAUGCAUCUCCUAUUAAUUCAUUUUCUGUUAUUCUACUAUUUUUGCAAGUAUUAGUAUAAAAAUUAGAAACUUUUGAGUGUUAAUAAUAUUUGGUACUAUUUUGAUUACAUACUUAAUAUAUCGUAAAAACAAAAUCUAAGUAUGAUCAACGGGCAAAUUUUUUUUGUAGGCAUCAUUGAAAUCCGGACAGGCACUGCCAAAUGGGUUUAUCGUCAUCGUCUCAUUGGGUCUCCAAUGAAGAUCUGAACAGCUGAGUGUACUUAUUAUUACAAAAUCACAGCAAAAG